This 45-nucleotide non-coding RNA is filed under the name Schistosoma curassoni. Lineage: Eukaryota; Metazoa; Platyhelminthes; Trematoda; Strigeidida; Schistosomatidae. The record is from RNAcentral.
ACCCAGCUGACGUGUCCCAAGCAGUACGAAACGCGAGUCCUGGAU